ACGUGAAGGUGGUCUCUUCUAUGCCUACUUAACACAAAUCCAUCCCUAGCAGGCCUCUUUUUCUUACUUUGGCAUUCACGCAACGAUGUCUUUCCUCUAAAUCCACAUAUACAAUCCUUUGUAUCCAUAGAAACGUCUAGUAGGCCCUCGUUUUUGCAUGACCAUGUCUUUGCUCUAAACUUGUAACAUAUAAUCCCAUCAUGAGCACUCCUCACCUAACUUUAGUGUUCACGCGAAGGUGUUCCCCUCUAUGUCCAAAUAGAAAUCUAUCGCUAGUAUCUCUUACUUUUUACAUUCACAUGGUUAUGCUCUCGUAAUCCCAUACAUGCAAUCCUUUGUAUUCACAAAAAGCUACUAGUAGGCCCUCCUCCUCGGAUGAUGUUGGCUUCCUCUUAACUCCACAGCAUGCAGUUCUAUCGUGAGCAUCCCUAACCUAACUUAGUGUUCACAUAAAGGAAGUUUCCCUCUAUACCUUCGAACACAAAUCUAUCGCUAAUAGCCCUCUUUUCUAAAAUUAGCACCACUUAGUGAUGUCUUCCUUCUAAACCCACGGAUACAGUCCCUUGUAUCUAUAAAUUCUACUAGCAAGCGUUACUCUUCAUAUAACGUUGCCUUUGCUCUUAAGUCUAUAGUGCACAAUCUUACCACGAGCAUUUCUUUCCUAAUUUUGAUGAUCACGUGAUGGUGGUUUUCCUCUCCACCCAUAGAAAAUAAUAUUAUAAAUUUUGCUAGUAGGCGUUACUCUUCACAUGAUGUUGCCUUCGCUCUUAAGUCUAUAGCGCAUGAUCCUAACAUGAGCAUUCCUCUACUAACUUUGACGUUC
This 823-nucleotide long non-coding RNA is filed under the name Sorghum bicolor (sorghum). RNAcentral's name for it is "long non-coding RNA (SBIC_LNC013455)". Lineage: Eukaryota; Viridiplantae; Streptophyta; Magnoliopsida; Poales; Poaceae. The record is from RNAcentral.